GAGUUUGAUCAUGGCUCAGAUUGAACGCUGGCGGCAGGCCUAACACAUGCAAGUCGAGCGGAUGACGGGAGCUUGCUCCUUGAUUCAGCGGCGGACGGGUGAGUAAUGCCUGGGAAUCUGCCUGGUAGUGGGGGACAACGUUUCGAAAGGAACGCUAAUACCGCAUACGUCCUACGGGAGAAAGCAGGGGACCUUCGGGCCUUGCGCUAUCAGAUGAGCCUAGGUCGGAUUAGCUAGUUGGUGGGGUAAUGGCUCACCAAGGCGACGAUCCGUAACUGGUCUGAGAGGAUGAUCAGUCACACUGGAACUGAGACACGGUCCAGACUCCUACGGGAGGCGGCAGUGGGGAAUAUUGGACAAUAGGCGAAAGCCUGAUCCAGCCAUGCCGCGUGUGUGAAGAAGGUCUU
RNAcentral lists this ribosomal RNA (407 nucleotides) under bacterium enrichment culture clone ALO1_GLFRUDD03GWNQS. Its description in RNAcentral is "bacterial SSU rRNA". It matches the Rfam family "Bacterial small subunit ribosomal RNA", at positions 9 to 418 of the family's 1533-position model. The record is from RNAcentral.